GACGAACGCUGGCGGCGUGCUUAACACAUGCAAGUCGAGCGGUAAGGCCCUUUCGGGGGUACACGAGCGGCGAACGGGUGAGUAACACGUGGGUGACCUGCCCUCAGCGUCUGGGAUAAGCCUGGGAAACCGGGUCUAAUACUGGAUAUGACUCCAUGACGCAUGUUGUGGGGUGGAAAGCCUUGUGCGGCUGAGGAUGGGCCCGCGGCCUAUCAGCUUGUUGGUGGGGUGANGGCCUACCAAGGCGACGACGGGUAGCCGGCCUGAGAGGGCGACCGGCCACACUGGGACUGAGACACGGCCCAGACUCCUACGGGAGGCAGCAGUGGGGAAUCUUGCGCAAUGGGCGAAAGCCUGACGCAGCGACGCCGCGUGAGGGAUGACGGCCUCGG
This 392-nucleotide ribosomal RNA is filed under the name uncultured bacterium. RNAcentral's name for it is "bacterial SSU rRNA". It matches the Rfam family "Bacterial small subunit ribosomal RNA", at positions 28 to 420 of the family's 1533-position model. The record is from RNAcentral.